GACGAACGCUGGCGGCGUGCUUAACACAUGCAAGUCGAACGAAGAGCGAUGGAAGCUUGCUUCUAUCAAUCUUAGUGGCGAACGGGUGAGUAACGCGUAAUCAACCUGCCCUUCAGAGGGGGACAACAGUUGGAAACGACUGCUAAUACCGCAUACGAUCUAAUCUCGGCAUCGAGGAUAGAUGAAAGGUGGCCUCUACAUGUAAGCUAUCACUGAAGGAGGGGAUUGCGUCUGAUUAGCUAGUUGGAGGGGUAACGGCCCACCAAGGCGAUGAUCAGUAGCCGGUCUGAGAGGAUGAACGGCCACAUUGGGACUGAGACACGGCCCAGACUCCUACGGGAGGCAGCAGUGGGGAAUCUUCCGCAAUGGACGAAAGUCUGACGGAGCAACGCCGCGUGAGCGAUGACGGCCUUCGGGUUGUAAAGCGCUGUUAAUCGGGACGAAAGGCCUUCUUGCGAAUAGUGAGAAGGAUUGACGGUACCGGAAUAGAAAGCCACGGCUAACUACGUG
RNAcentral lists this ribosomal RNA (510 nucleotides) under uncultured bacterium. RNAcentral describes it as "partial 16S ribosomal RNA". It matches the Rfam family "Bacterial small subunit ribosomal RNA", at positions 28 to 507 of the family's 1533-position model. The record is from RNAcentral.